GUGCUACAGGUCGAAGGUAAAUUAUGGUUUAAAUAUGUACAAACUCUGAUGCUAAGGCUUUGUUGGUAUAAAACAAAGUGGGAGUUCAUUCGUCUGUAGUUAGAUUAGUCUUCACUGUGCCAGUAAAGUGAAAGAAAAGUACAUUCUAGCAUGUGCUGGCUUCUAAUGAAUGUCGCUGUGAUAAGCGCUAUGUCAUUAGCUGUGUCUCUCUUGUGAUCCAAUAAGUUCUAACAAACUGUGAAGUGUGUAUAACACAAUGGCCGUUUGACAGCUACAGCAAUGUUUGCGGUUUCUAACCUGCUACAGAGGACGAUUAAAACUGAAAACAGUGCAAAACUUACCGUGUUGCUUGAUAAAGAAUGAGUGAUUGGCGCCGAUAAUGGUGAAUUCACAUGUUUUGAAGUAAACUGCUCAAAAGGUGACAGGUCACUUUGCCAGAAGUUGAUGAGUACUUUAAAAGUACUCAUCAGUGAAUCAAAAAGAAGUGACACCUGUUUGAGUACUGCUCACAGUAGGUGCGAAGAUAAUCUUCUUACGUAGUGUUAAAGCAUCCCCCAUUGUUUUAAUCUAUGAUCCAGAUCACAAGGAUUAGUGACACUGCAGGAAACAAAGGAGAAUUAAAGCCACCCAUGAUGAUUCAGGUUUACUUAUCCUCAGCAUUCUUGUCAAUAUGGGGUAGGCCAAUCUUUUCACCUUUUAUGCAACAUUGAUUCAUUCAAAGGCAUCUUCAAGAUCCUUGUCAACCAUGAUGCAAGCCAAGUGCUGACAUUCACCUUUCGUAAAACACAAGUACAUAUCCUCUCCAUUCCUCCCAUGAGUACAACAGAAGACAACAUUUUGGGGUGACUAGAGACAGAUAAAUCCAUCAUCUGCAAUUAAUCCUGCCAUCUUUGAUGAACACUUCACACUUCAUUUUAUAUUUUCACCAUUUGUGACGCAAACCUUGUUUCUGCACAGGUAGUCUAAAUCACCUCUGUUGAGGCUUGUUGUCUCAAUUGGUUUUAAUCUUGGUGCAUGCAAUACAAUCCAUCAGUUUUCUUGUAAAUCAUCACUUCAUUCGAAUAAAGUUUGUCAUUUUAUUUAAAAUAAUAAUCGAAUAUAAUA
This is a long non-coding RNA of Liolophura sinensis, 1104 nucleotides long. RefSeq lists it as uncharacterized. Lineage: Eukaryota; Metazoa; Mollusca; Polyplacophora; Chitonida; Chitonidae. The transcript is spliced from 4 exons. The record is from RefSeq and is a predicted model, not a curated record.